GGGUGCCGGAUUGCCCUUACACAUGCAAGUCGAACGGUCUCUUCGGAGAUAGUGGCGGACGGGUGAGUAACGCGUGAGAAUCUGGCUUCAGGUCGGGGACAACAGUUGGAAACGGCUGCUAAUACCGGAUGUGCCGAAAGGUGAAAGAUUUAUUGCCUGAAGAUGAGCUCGCGUCUGAUUAGCUAGUUGGUGUGGUAAGAGCGCACCAAGGCGACGAUCAGUAGCUGGUCUGAGAGGAUGAUCAGCCACACUGGGACUGAGACACGGCCCAGACUCCUACGGGAGGCAGCAGUGGGGAAUUUUCCGCAAUGGGCGAAAGCCUGACGGAGCAAUACCGCGUGAGGGAGGAAGGCUCUUGGGUUGUAAACCUCUUUUCUCAAGGAAUAAAAAAAUGAAGGUACUUGAGGAAUAAGCAUCGGCUAACUCCGUGCCAGCAGCCGCGGUAAUACGGAGGAUGCAAGCGUUAUCCGGAAUGAUUGGGCGUAAAGGGUCCGCAGGUGGCAAUGUAAGUCUGCUGUCAAAGAAUGAGGCUUAACCUCAUCAAGGCAGUGGAAACUACGUAGCUAGAGUACGGUCGGGGUAGAAGGAAUUCCUGGUGUAGCGGUGAAAUGGCGUAGAAUAACAUACCCACAAAC
This 635-nucleotide ribosomal RNA is filed under the name Anabaena sp. ISB105. RNAcentral's name for it is "bacterial SSU rRNA". It matches the Rfam family "Bacterial small subunit ribosomal RNA", at positions 34 to 713 of the family's 1533-position model. The record is from RNAcentral. Lineage: Bacteria; Bacillati; Cyanobacteriota; Cyanophyceae; Nostocales; Nostocaceae.